Molecule: ribosomal RNA, 1442 nt
Filed under: uncultured organism
Description: partial small subunit ribosomal RNA
Rfam family: Bacterial small subunit ribosomal RNA
Source: RNAcentral
CUUGCGGCGUGCUUAACACAUGCAAGUCGAACGGAAAGGCCCUGCUUUUGUGGGGUGCUCGAGUGGCGAACGGGUGAGUAACACGUGAGUAACCUGCCCUUGACUUUGGGAUAACUUCAGGAAACUGGGGCUAAUACCGGAUAGGAGCUCCUGCUGCAUGGUGGGGGUUGGAAAGUUUCGGCGGUUGGGGAUGGACUCGCGGCUUAUCAGCUUGUUGGUGGGGUAGUGGCUUACCAAGGCUUUGACGGGUAGCCGGCCUGAGAGGGUGACCGGCCACAUUGGGACUGAGAUACGGCCCAGACUCCUACGGGAGGCAGCAGUGGGGAAUAUUGCACAAUGGGCGGAAGCCUGAUGCAGCAACGCCGCGUGCGGGAUGACGGCCUUCGGGUUGUAAACCGCUUUCGCCUGUGACGAAGCGUGAGUGACGGUAAUGGGUAAAGAAGCACCGGCUAACUACGUGCCAGCAGCCGCGGUGAUACGUAGGGUGCGAGCGUUGUCCGGAUUUAUUGGGCGUAAAGGGCUCGUAGGUGGUUGAUCGCGUCGGAAGUGUAAUCUUGGGGCUUAACCCUGAGCGUGCUUUCGAUACGGGUUGACUUGAGGAAGGUAGGGGAGAAUGGAAUUCCUGGUGGAGCGGUGGAAUGCGCAGAUAUCAGGAGGAACACCAGUGGCGAAGGCGGUUCUCUGGGCCUUUCCUGACGCUGAGGAGCGAAAGCGUGGGGAGCGAACAGGCUUAGAUACCCUGGUAGUCCACGCUGUAAACGGUGGGUACUAGGUGUGGGGUCCAUUCCACGGGUUCCGUGCCGUAGCUAACGCUUUAAGUACCCCGCCUGGGGAGUACGGCCGCAAGGCUAAAACUCAAAGGAAUUGACGGGGCCCCGCACAAGCGGCGGAGCAUGCGGAUUAAUUCGAUGCAACGCGUAGAACCUUACCUGGGUUUGACAUGGAUCGGGAGUGCUCAGAGAUGGGUGUGCCUCUUUUGGGGUCGGUUCACAGGUGGUGCAUGGCUGUCGUCAGCUCGUGUCGUGAGAUGUUGGGUUAAGUCCCGCAACGAGCGCAACCCUUGUUCACUGUUGCCAGCACGUUAUGGUGGGGACUCAGUGGAGACCGCCGGGGUCAACCCGGAGGAAGGUGGGGAUGACGUCAAGUCAUCAUGCCCCUUAUGUCCAGGGCUUCACGCAUGCUACAAUGGCUGGUACAGAGAGUGGCGAGCCUGUGAGGGUGAGCGAAUCUCGGAAAGCCGGUCUCAGUUCGGAUUGGGGUCUGCAACUCGACCUCAUGAAGUCGGAGUCGCUAGUAAUCGCAGAUCAGCAACGCUGCGGUGAAUACGUUCCCGGGGCUUGUACACACCGCCCGUCAAGUCAUGAAAGUUGGUAACACCCGAAGCCGGUGGCCUAACCGUUGUGGGGGAGCCGUCGAAGGUGGGACUGGUGAUUAGGACUAAG